RNAcentral lists this long non-coding RNA (1035 nucleotides) under Nicotiana benthamiana. Its description in RNAcentral is "long non-coding RNA (NBEN_LNC017521)". The record is from RNAcentral. Lineage: Eukaryota; Viridiplantae; Streptophyta; Magnoliopsida; Solanales; Solanaceae.
AUUUUACGGGGUUAUUAUUGUUGUUGUUGUUGUUGUUAUGACUUAAAAGUCUUAAAAAUAGAGGUAGAUAACUAUACGGUAAAAUAAAUAAUCUAUUUACUAGUUGAGACAGAAACCCUUAUUAUCAAACUCAUCCUAACAUGAGAUAGGCAAAAACACACAAAAAUCAACCAUCAUCAAGAAGUCAAAUAAAACGAAUGUAAAAGAACGAAAAUAAAGCAAGACGCCAUAGGCGCCCCCAAGCAUAGUUCGCUUGUUUUCUCGCUAUCCGAUGCUCUAAGAAAGAUGGUAUGCAAUAACCCCAUGUGAUGGUGGUAGCGUUGAGUCACGAGUGGCUCCGAUUUGCUCCAAGUGACUUUUGCAGGGCGGUGAACUAAGACGUGGAUCUAAGGUGCACUAUCUAACUCUGACCUCGAAAGUGCUAAUUAAAACUGCCGGAAUGAACAUCAUAAUGCCUCUGUUUCAGUUCAGAAACCAACAAAGGCUGAGAAGCUAAGUUUUUUAAAGCAGUUUUAAAGAGGUAAAAAUGAGCAAAGAGCAAGCGAGUUUCAAGGUUAGCAGCAGCGGCCAAAGAUGAUCCAAAAUUGCUUCCAGAUUGGAGUAUUUAUAUAGGUAACUCUAGGGUUUCAAUUUUGAACGGGAUUUCAAAUUUCCCAUUUUGAGUGUCAAAAUAGCCGUUCAAAAAUGGUCGAAAUUGCAGAUGUGAGACAAGAUUUGAACAAAAAUGGAGUGUACAUCUUUCUGGCAGAGCUUAUAAAAGUUAUAAUCUUUGACACAAAUAGGAAGAUGUCAAAAUCUAUGCUAGAGAAGAGGGCAGCAGAUGGAGAAAUAUUUUGAGAAAACCUAGUUAUGAUAUUUACUAUUUAGUGGGGCAAUGUGAGGAGGGGAACAUUGGGUUGUAGAGAAAAGGAUUUUGGGCCAUCUUUCGGCUGAAAUGCAAUAACCUUUUCUUAUUCUUUUAGUUGUGUUUUUGGGCUUCCCUUUAUUAAUAAUUUGGACUCAAUAAAAAAUACUUUGAGCUUUUAUAAUAUUAUU